Non-coding RNA from Brachypodium distachyon (stiff brome), 105 nucleotides. NCBI's taxonomy places the organism in Eukaryota, Viridiplantae, Streptophyta, Magnoliopsida, Poales, Poaceae. The record is from RefSeq and is marked provisional.
CCCCUAGGCCUGCUCGGAUUGAGUGUAUUUUUAGUGGGGGGCUGGUACUUAGUUACCAACCCCCAACUAAAAAUACACUCAAUUCAAGCAGCUGGCCCUUAAUUG